GUAUCAGUGUGUAUGUGAUAUUCAGGACCAGGAGAUAUUCAGGGCUCCUGCUCUGAUUAUCCUUCAUCAAUCAGGUCCUCAUUAGUCCGGAGCCGGGAUGUGACGCAGGAAACCGGAGCAGGAUCGUUAAACAUGGAUGAGGCUGUGGGAGAAAGUGGAACACACACACAGUGGACUUUAGGGAGAGUCACGGUCAAUCUGCUGACUUUCAGACAUACACUCUGCCUGCUGCUGGUGUACAGAUCUAUCUUGGGGUGUAAGUGAGUCUCAGGUGUGAGUGUGUGUGUGUGUGUGAAUGAACGCGGUCAGUAUUGGGGAGUACCAUGGGCUGCGGGUGGGCUCGGCCCUCCUCAGUAUCGUAUCCGGCUGCAUCAUCAUCGGUGUCUCUAAAGACUGUGACGCCGACGCUGUGGGGGGGAUUUUCCUCGGAGCAGGAGGACUCGGUCUCCUGAUCUCCGUCUAUCCAUUUAUCAAAGCCUGGUUCAACAUCCAUCACAUUUUACCCAACAUCGGAAACUUCCGAGUCCAUCCAGCUGCUCCGACGCCGGCCCCUGAACAGCCCUCGGACUCUCUCAGAAGAGAAGGGACUCUGGGUCAGCUGGAGCGCUCCAAGAGCCGCAUGGGGACGUUUGUGGAGACUGGAACUGCUGCAGCUGAGGGCUCACAGGAAGACGGUGUGUGGUUUAUUGUACAGUCCAGGACAGAGAGAAGAGUAGUGUCAGCACCACCCUCCUCCUCCCAUCCUUCUCCUCAGUCUGUCAGUGGAGCAGGGCAGUGACAGCAACCUGUCACUGAAGCUGCUUCUCUGUCUGGAGAUGAUGUUGUACAGUGGAUGCAGUGGAUUGUCCAUGAUGGACAGGAGCCUGCUCAGCGUCCUCCUCUCUGCCACUGAUGUCCAGUUCUGAGCCCACAAUCGAGCCCGCCUUCCUCAAAAGCUUGUCCAGACGUGAGGCGUCCUUCUUCUUUAUGCUGCCUCCCCAGCACACUGCCGCAUAGAAGAGGGUACUCACCACAACAGUCUGAUAGAACAGCAGCUUUUUGCAGAUGUUAAAGGAAGCCAGCCUUCUUAGGAAGUACAGCCGGCUCUGUCCUUUCCUACACAGAGCGUCUGUGUUGGCUGUCCAGUCCAUUCUUUCAUCCAGCUGUACUCCAAGGUACUUGAAGGUCUUGACAAACUCCAGACAGCCGCCGCUGAUAGUUACAGGCUCAGGUUGAGGCCUGGGCCUCCUGAAGUCCACCACCAUCUCCCUGGUCUUUGUCUCCCUUGUCAGCAGCGGCUGGAUGGUGUUGAGUGCACUGGAGAAGUCCAAAAAUGUUAUUCUCACAGCUGUGGUCUAAUGUGGUGUAGCAUCACCUGCUCCAUGGUCUUCAUUACGUGAGACGUCAGGGCGACUGGCCUGAAGUCAUUCACCUCUCCAAUGUGUGGUUUCUUUGGGACUGGGAUGAUGCAGGAUGUUUUCCACCGCCGAGACCCUCUACAGAUGUUCCGGAUAUUUUGGGCAGGCGUAAACCCAAACUCUCAGAGGUAGACCUUCCAUAAACAUCUGGAGCUCAAACCAUCAACUGUGUGAAAGAGGAACAGAGAGAAUUAGAACAAUAAUCUAUUAUAAAUGAGCCUCAGACCUGCAGUCAGUAUCUGAGGUGAAAACCGUGUCUGUGAGAUGUGAAAAGAUGAGUUACAUAUGUCAUUAAUAUGAACAUCAGGACAUCGUGGCCAUGAGACAUGAGGCAUUUCCUCUGCGGAUGUGCAUCGUCGCCUCAGGCCGUCUCUCUUUACAUCCCUCUCCAGAUCGAAUGCAAAUGCGACAUUUAUUUAAAAACUCCAAUGUCUCAUUUCCAUUUCAGUGACGAUCGAUAGAAACGAUCCUGAAGGAAAAUUUAAAACAAAUCACUGUGCAUGAGACGAAAUGAUCCAGGACUUUAAUAGCUUUUUAAUGUAUUUAAAUGCAGUUUAAGACAAAAAAUGCUGAGAGCAAAUUCGGGUGAGAACAAACUCGUUUGAGGUGAAUUUUAAUUUAAAA
Molecule: RNA transcript, 2021 nt
Organism: Hemibagrus wyckioides
Lineage: Eukaryota; Metazoa; Chordata; Actinopteri; Siluriformes; Bagridae
Gene: kncn
Gene name: kinocilin
Exons: 7
Source: RefSeq, a predicted model, not a curated record